RNAcentral lists this ribosomal RNA (425 nucleotides) under uncultured bacterium. Its description in RNAcentral is "bacterial SSU rRNA". It matches the Rfam family "Bacterial small subunit ribosomal RNA", at positions 355 to 775 of the family's 1533-position model. The record is from RNAcentral.
UCGAGAAUCUUCGGCAAUGGGCGCAAGCCUGACCGAGCGACGCCGCGUGUGGGAUGAAGGCCCUUGGGUUGUAAACCACUGUCAGAGGGGAUGAAGUGCAUGAGGGCAAUCUCUCAUGUUUGACAUAGCCUCAGAGGAAGCACGGGCUAAGUUCGUGCCAGCAGCCGCGGUAAUACGAACUGUGCGAACGUUAUUCGGAAUCACUGGGCUUACAGGGUGCGUAGGCGGCUUGUCAAGUAGGGUGUGAAAGCCCCCGGCUCAACCGGGGAAUUGCGCCCUAAACUGGCGAGCUGGAGUGAGAUAGGGGUGUGUGGAACUUCCGGUGGAGCGGUGAAAUGUGUUGAUAUCGGAAGGAACGCCGGUGGCGAAAGCGACACACUGGAUCUUGUCUGACGCUGAGGCACGAAAGCCAGGGGAGCGAACGG